RNAcentral lists this ribosomal RNA (2906 nucleotides) under Escherichia coli. Its description in RNAcentral is "23S ribosomal RNA". It matches the Rfam family "Bacterial large subunit ribosomal RNA". Lineage: Bacteria; Pseudomonadati; Pseudomonadota; Gammaproteobacteria; Enterobacterales; Enterobacteriaceae. The record is from RNAcentral.
GGUUAAGCGACUAAGCGUACACGGUGGAUGCCCUGGCAGUCAGAGGCGAUGAAGGACGUGCUAAUCUGCGAUAAGCGUCGGUAAGGUGAUAUGAACCGUUAUAACCGGCGAUUUCCGAAUGGGGAAACCCAGUGUGAUUCGUCACACUAUCAUUAACUGAAUCCAUAGGUUAAUGAGGCGAACCGGGGGAACUGAAACAUCUAAGUACCCCGAGGAAAAGAAAUCAACCGAGAUUCCCCCAGUAGCGGCGAGCGAACGGGGAGCAGCCCAGAGCCUGAAUCAGUGUGUGUGUUAGUGGAAGCGUCUGGAAAGGCGCGCGAUACAGGGUGACAGCCCCGUACACAAAAAUGCACAUGCUGUGAGCUCGAUGAGUAGGGCGGGACACGUGGUAUCCUGUCUGAAUAUGGGGGGACCAUCCUCCAAGGCUAAAUACUCCUGACUGACCGAUAGUGAACCAGUACCGUGAGGGAAAGGCGAAAAGAACCCCGGCGAGGGGAGUGAAAAAGAACCUGAAACCGUGUACGUACAAGCAGUGGGAGCACAGAGCAAUCUGUGUGACUGCGUACCUUUUGUAUAAUGGGUCAGCGACUUAUAUUCUGUAGCAAGGUUAACCGAAUAGGGGAGCCGAAGGGAAACCGAGUCUUAACUGGGCGUUAAGUUGCAGGGUAUAGACCCGAAACCCGGUGAUCUAGCCAUGGGCAGGUUGAAGGUUGGGUAACACUAACUGGAGGACCGAACCGACUAAUGUUGAAAAAUUAGCGGAUGACUUGUGGCUGGGGGUGAAAGGCCAAUCAAACCGGGAGAUAGCUGGUUCUCCCCGAAAGCUAUUUAGGUAGCGCCUCGUGAAUUCAUCUCCGGGGGUAGAGCACUGUUUCGGCAAGGGGGUCAUCCCGACUUACCAACCCGAUGCAAACUGCGAAUACCGGAGAAUGUUAUCACGGGAGACACACGGCGGGUGCUAACGUCCGUCGUGAAGAGGGAAACAACCCAGACCGCCAGCUAAGGUCCCAAAGUCAUGGUUAAGUGGGAAACGAUGUGGGAAGGCCCAGACAGCCAGGAUGUUGGCUUAGAAGCAGCCAUCAUUUAAAGAAAGCGUAAUAGCUCACUGGUCGAGUCGGCCUGCGCGGAAGAUGUAACGGGGCUAAACCAUGCACCGAAGCUGCGGCAGCGACGCUGAUGCGUUGUUGGGUAGGGGAGCGUUCUGUAAGCCUGCGAAGGUGUGCUGUGAGGCAUGCUGGAGGUAUCAGAAGUGCGAAUGCUGACAUAAGUAACGAUAAAGCGGGUGAAAAGCCCGCUCGCCGGAAGACCAAGGGUUCCUGUCCAACGUUAAUCGGGGCAGGGUGAGUCGACCCCUAAGGCGAGGCCGAAAGGCGUAGUCGAUGGGAAACAGGUUAAUAUUCCUGUACUUGGUGUUACUGCGAAGGGGGGACGGAGAAGGCUAUGUUGGCCGGGCGACGGUUGUCCCGGUUUAAGCGUGUAGGCUGGUUUUCCAGGCAAAUCCGGAAAAUCAAGGCUGAGGCGUGAUGACGAGGCACUACGGUGCUGAAGCAACAAAUGCCCUGCUUCCAGGAAAAGCCUCUAAGCAUCAGGUAACAUCAAAUCGUACCCCAAACCGACACAGGUGGUCAGGUAGAGAAUACCAAGGCGCUUGAGAGAACUCGGGUGAAGGAACUAGGCAAAAUGGUGCCGUAACUUCGGGAGAAGGCACGCUGAUAUGUAGGUGAAGUCCCUCGCGGAUGGAGCUGAAAUCAGUCGAAGAUACCAGCUGGCUGCAACUGUUUAUUAAAAACACAGCACUGUGCAAACACGAAAGUGGACGUAUACGGUGUGACGCCUGCCCGGUGCCGGAAGGUUAAUUGAUGGGGUUAGCGCAAGCGAAGCUCUUGAUCGAAGCCCCGGUAAACGGCGGCCGUAACUAUAACGGUCCUAAGGUAGCGAAAUUCCUUGUCGGGUAAGUUCCGACCUGCACGAAUGGCGUAAUGAUGGCCAGGCUGUCUCCACCCGAGACUCAGUGAAAUUGAACUCGCUGUGAAGAUGCAGUGUACCCGCGGCAAGACGGAAAGACCCCGUGAACCUUUACUAUAGCUUGACACUGAACAUUGAGCAUUGAUGUGUAGGAUAGGUGGGAGGCUUUGAAGUGUGGACGCCAGUCUGCAUGGAGCCGACCUUGAAAUACCACCCUUUAAUGUUUGAUGUUCUAACGUUGACCCGUAAUCCGGGUUGCGGACAGUGUCUGGUGGGUAGUUUGACUGGGGCGGUCUCCUCCUAAAGAGUAACGGAGGAGCACGAAGGUUGGCUAAUCCUGGUCGGACAUCAGGAGGUUAGUGCAAUGGCAUAAGCCAGCUUGACUGCGAGCGUGACGGCGCGAGCAGGUGCGAAAGCAGGUCAUAGUGAUCCGGUGGUUCUGAAUGGAAGGGCCAUCGCUCAACGGAUAAAAGGUACUCCGGGGAUAACAGGCUGAUACCGCCCAAGAGUUCAUAUCGACGGCGGUGUUUGGCACCUCGAUGUCGGCUCAUCACAUCCUGGGGCUGAAGUAGGUCCCAAGGGUAUGGCUGUUCGCCAUUUAAAGUGGUACGCGAGCUGGGUUUAGAACGUCGUGAGACAGUUCGGUCCCUAUCUGCCGUGGGCGCUGGAGAACUGAGGGGGGCUGCUCCUAGUACGAGAGGACCGGAGUGGACGCAUCACUGGUGUUCGGGUUGUCAUGCCAAUGGCACUGCCCGGUAGCUAAAUGCGGAAGAGAUAAGUGCUGAAAGCAUCUAAGCACGAAACUUGCCCCGAGAUGAGUUCUCCCUGACUCCUUGAGAGUCCUGAAGGAACGUUGAAGACGACGACGUUGAUAGGCCGGGUGUGUAAGCGCAGCGAUGCGUUGAGCUAACCGGUACUAAUGAACCGUGAGGCUUAACCUU